This 68-nucleotide transfer RNA is filed under the name Dalsira scabrata. RNAcentral describes it as "tRNA-Asp". Lineage: Eukaryota; Metazoa; Arthropoda; Insecta; Hemiptera; Pentatomidae. The record is from RNAcentral.
AAAGAUUUAGUUUAAAAUUAAAACAUUAAUUUGUCAAAUUAAAAAAACUUUAAUUUAAGUAAUCUUUA